UCAGGAUGAACGCUAGCGGCAGGCUAACACAUGCAAGUCGAGGGGCAUCGGGAGUAGCAAUACUGCCGGCGACCGGCGCAAGGGUGCGUAACGCGUGAGCAACAUGCCCGUAUCAGGGGGGAUAAUCCAUGGAAACGUGGUCUAAUACCCCAUAGUAAUUAUGUAAGGCAUCUUAUAUAAUUUAAAGCUUUGGUGGAUACGGAUUGGCUCGCGUGACAUUAGCUAGAUGGUAAGGUAACGGCUUACCAUGGCUACGAUGUCUAGGGGUUCUGGGAGGAAGGUCCCCCCACACUGGAACUGAGACACGGUCCAGACUCCUACGGGAGGCAGCAGUGAGGAAUAUUGGACAAUGGAUGGAAAUCUGAUCCAGCCAUGCCGCGUGCAGGAAAGACGGCCCUAUGGGUUGUAAACUGCUUUUGUAUGGGAGCAAUAAGGGCUACGCGUAGUCCGAUGAGAGUACCAUACGAAUAAGCACCGGCUAACUCCGUGCCAGCAGCAGC
RNAcentral lists this ribosomal RNA (500 nucleotides) under uncultured bacterium. RNAcentral describes it as "bacterial SSU rRNA". It matches the Rfam family "Bacterial small subunit ribosomal RNA", at positions 24 to 518 of the family's 1533-position model. The record is from RNAcentral.